This 309-nucleotide long non-coding RNA is filed under the name Homo sapiens (human). Its description in RNAcentral is "HSALNT0339261". Lineage: Eukaryota; Metazoa; Chordata; Mammalia; Primates; Hominidae. The record is from RNAcentral.
AAAGAAUUGGAGUUUUGUGGCUGCUGGAUUCUAAAAGGGGUGAUGACCUGACCUGAGAGGGACGUAAGGUCAAAAAUCUGAAACAAUCAUUGCAUGUAUGACUUUCCAGAGAGCCUUACAGUCAUUUUUAUAAAAGCAAGAGUUCAACAACAGUUCAGCAACACAGCAUCUGCCUACCAUCUCCCUGUAGAAUUUUUACUGCCAGUAUUUCACCACCAGCAUUUACAAUGAUUAUAGGCUUAACGAAUUCAUUAAACUAUAUUUAAAAAGUCUUUCCAGAAUAAAAAAAAUUGUUGUUGUUUCAAACAA